Molecule: non-coding RNA, 129 nt
Organism: Podarcis muralis (Common wall lizard)
Lineage: Eukaryota; Metazoa; Chordata; Lepidosauria; Squamata; Lacertidae
Source: RefSeq, a predicted model, not a curated record
CUAGCGUUGAGUCUUUGAGGUUGUGAAGAUGAGAAAAGAAGUGAGGAAGGUCAGAGUGCUGACAAUUCGCAAGCUAACUAGACAUAUUGCAAAACUGAAGGCAAAAAAGGGCACGGAAGAUGCAGUAUU